AUCAUCUUCUCAAGCAAGACAAUAAGCAAUUCCCCCAUUACAUUCCUCUCCCUGUCAGCAAAACAACAACCCAAAAAUGGCUGAAAACCCAAUUCGUUUUGGUAUCAUGGGAUGUGCAAAGAGAGCAAGAAAAUUGGCAAGUGCCAUAGACCUAGCCCCCAAUUCAACUCUCUAUGCUAUUGCUAGUGGCUCACUGGAAAAGGCUCAGUUAUUUGCCACUGAGAAUGAAUUGCCUAAAACCAUCAAGAUUUAUGGUAGCUAUCAAGAAUUUCUUGAUGACCCUUCCAUUGAUGUUGUUUACAUGCCAUUGCCAAGUAGCCUUCAUCUCCAAUGGGCUGUCUUAGCUGCCCAGAAGAAGCAUCAUUUGCUGCUGGAGAAGCCACCUGCACUUGAUGUGGUUGAGCUUGAUGAGAUUUUGGAAGCAUGUGAAUCCAAUGGCGUACAAUUCAUGGAUGGAUCUAUGUGGUUGCACCACCCUAGGACUGCCAAAAUGAAGGAGCUUCUCUCUGAUCCCAAGCUAAUUGGACAACUUGAAUUUGUAAGUUCAUUCUUCUAUUUUCUUAUAAUGUUGGCCUAAUUAUUCUAAAUAUCUUGAAUUAGUGCGAUUUACUUAUUAAAUAAUAAAUUAAGCCCUGCUUUGAUUGUUGCUGUGAUGAUACUCAGAUUCACAGCACAUCCACAAUGUCACCACCUCCAGAAUUUUUCAAGGACGAUAUAAGAGUAAAACCAGACAUGGAUGCUCUUGGUGCACUUGGUGACUUAGGCUGGUAUUGCAUUGGAAGUGUCUUGUGGGCUAAAAACUACAGACUACCAAAUCUAGUCACUGCUUUACCUGGCGUCAUCAAGAACUCAGCUGGAAUCAUCUUACAAUUUUCAGCCUCCUUACACUAUGAUGAGCCAGACCUGUUCAAGACAGUUGCUAUCAUCCAUUGCUCUUUUCUCUCCCAUUCAUCCAUGGACUUGAAAAUGAUCGGUUCGAGUGGAUCGAUCCAUCUCAUGGACUUCAUCAUCCCAUUCCAGGAGGAUUCUGCUUCCUUUAGCAUCACAUUGCUUGCAAAGUUUGUGGAUCUCCACAUUGGGUGGAAUGUGAAGCCUGAAAAGGUUGUGGUGGCUAAUGAACUACCACAAGAGGCUUUGAUGGUUCAAGAGCUUGCUAGGCUUGUAGAGGAUAUUGGGAAAUCCGUGUCUUGUCCUGAUAGAAAAUGGCCUCAGAUUAGCAGAAAGACUCAAUUAGUAUUGGAUGCAGUUAAGAAAUCUAUUGAUCUUGGUUGCAAACCUGUUUAUUUGUAAUUAUUCUCAUGUUAUGAGCUUAUUUAUAAAUAAAAAUUGUAAAAAAAACGUAGAGUUUUGUCUCAAUAUAUACUUUGUUUCCUACUAUUUCAUAAUUAAUUUUUUUAGUUCCUGAGAUUUAUUAAUGGAUGUAGAAAAAAUUAUUGGCAAAA
Molecule: unclassified non-coding RNA, 1442 nt
Filed under: Hevea brasiliensis (rubber tree)
Lineage: Eukaryota; Viridiplantae; Streptophyta; Magnoliopsida; Malpighiales; Euphorbiaceae
Source: RNAcentral